CGAGUAAAUCAGGCAGUUGCGGGCAAUGCGCGAAAGCGUCUGUCCGAGGAAAGUCCGGGCUCCAUAGAGCAAGAAUAACGGCUAACGGCCGCCGGGGGCGACCCUAGGGAUAGUGCAACAGAAAUAUACCGCCACUUUGUGGUAAGGAUGGAAAGGCGAGGUAAGAGCUCACCGGGGUUGGGGAGACCCAACUGCCAUGUAAACCCUAUUCGGAGCAACACCGUGGUAAGACAUAUUUGCCUGCUCGGCAAGUCUUUUGGAGGUGGCACUGAGCUGUUGCGGUAACGCACAGCCAAGAUAGAUGACUGCCAGAUACAGAACCCGGCUUAUAGAUUUAGUCGCUUU
This 345-nucleotide RNase P RNA is filed under the name Eubacteriales bacterium. RNAcentral describes it as "RNase P RNA component class A". It matches the Rfam family "Bacterial RNase P class A". Rfam says of the family: Ribonuclease P (RNase P) is a ubiquitous endoribonuclease, found in archaea, bacteria and eukarya as well as chloroplasts and mitochondria. The record is from RNAcentral. Lineage: Bacteria; Bacillati; Bacillota; Clostridia; Eubacteriales.